GCACUUGUAGAGACAUGUUUACCUUUUCGUUUAUCAUCUCUGAAGGACUCAAACUCGGAGUUUGCUUCUCUUGGUCUCGAACGCCUUGUUGAAUAAACGUCUUGAUAAGAGUCUCUUGUCGAGUAGUGUCGUCGGGAUGAUCUUAACUCCGUCUCUUGACUCGAUGAAAUUUGCUUUCGUUGGGCUCUUUUCUCUACUCGAUCCAAUCGAUCAUGCAAUUUAUCAAAUUUUGAUUUCACCAUUCUAUGCACUUCUUGCAUCAAAUAUUGGAAUUCUGAUUCGAAAAAUUCUUCUUGAUACAUUUUUUUUUGCUAAAAGAGAAAAAAAAUGAUUAAAAUACAAUAGAAAAUAAAUACCUCACCACACAAAAAAAAAUCUCACGUUUCACUCACAAAG
RNAcentral lists this long non-coding RNA (396 nucleotides) under Gossypium barbadense (sea-island cotton). Its description in RNAcentral is "long non-coding RNA (GBAR_LNC013536)". Lineage: Eukaryota; Viridiplantae; Streptophyta; Magnoliopsida; Malvales; Malvaceae. The record is from RNAcentral.